Ruditapes philippinarum (Manila clam) is the source of this 569-nucleotide long non-coding RNA. RefSeq lists it as uncharacterized. The transcript is spliced from 3 exons. The record is from RefSeq and is a predicted model, not a curated record. Lineage: Eukaryota; Metazoa; Mollusca; Bivalvia; Venerida; Veneridae.
AGAUCAAAGAGCGGAUCUUUUAUUUCAAAUAAAUAGUUAUGGCUUUAUUUUUAAUUCUUUAUUGAAUUAAGCAUUGCAAAGUUUUCUAAUUCGAGAUGAACGUGUUUCAUAUUGUCUUAGUUAUUGACGGUGAUCUUGUAUUCAGUUGAACUAGUUAUUCUUUGACAUAUGAGUGUUAACUUAUUAUAAUGUACAGACUAAAUAAUGAUGAAGAUUUGUAAACAUUCAAAAAUACUUAUUUCAAGCAAUAUAUUUUGUGUUUUAUACUCCAACAUUCAGGAUAAUACAUUUUGUAUUCCACAUUCCGACAUUCAUGUGAAGGAAUUACCACAAUGAUGCUUUACAAAGGAUUAAUACUUCUUCUAUUGGCUGCUGCCCCUGGAAAUGUCGCUUCCCUGUUUUGUUAUUCGUGUAGCAACGUUGAAAGUAUGGACAGUUGUAAAACUGUUAAAACAAACGAAAGUGGAGAGGUAUGUUUUUAAAUAACUUAUACAUGGGUACCUUACACUUUCAAAUAUAAACACGGUAAUUAUUUGUAAUUCUUUCGUGGGAUACAUAAAUUAAGUUAA